RNAcentral lists this ribosomal RNA (363 nucleotides) under Triticum aestivum (bread wheat). Its description in RNAcentral is "partial small subunit ribosomal RNA". The record is from RNAcentral. Lineage: Eukaryota; Viridiplantae; Streptophyta; Magnoliopsida; Poales; Poaceae.
AUGGCCAAUUCUGUAGGCAACAACGAGUUAGUGUGCGAUGUGGACAUGGCCAACAAUAAAUUCUUAGACAAUUAUGAGUAUGUCGUCAAGAGCGUGCAAGGGGCGAAUGGCGAGCUAAAGGAGGAGAUUAAAGAGCUAUGCAAAGAGACUGUUUGGCUCGUUCAGGAGACUAAUCAGCUUGGGGACGAGAGGGAUAAGCUCGUCGAGGAUCAGGAUAAACUAAAGGAGGAGAGGAGAUGCCUCAGGGCUAAGAGGAUUGACCUGAAGAUGGACAUAGAUCAUUUCAGAAGAGAAGGAGAGGAGGAUAGAAAGAACCUUAUCCAACUGGGCAUACUCCUUGAUGAAGAUUAUGUUUUUAAGUAG